This 1090-nucleotide long non-coding RNA is filed under the name Citrus sinensis (sweet orange). RNAcentral describes it as "long non-coding RNA (CSIN_LNC001709)". The record is from RNAcentral. Lineage: Eukaryota; Viridiplantae; Streptophyta; Magnoliopsida; Sapindales; Rutaceae.
GAGUUUCAACAAACCUGGGGAGGAAUGCGGCAGUAUUUGUGUUUGAUUCUUGUUCUACCAGAGUGACAACCUUGGGAUUCAGUGACUUUAUCAUCCUCAGAAGCCCAUCCCUUGGAUUGUUCAAAUCUACACUUUCAUCUGGGGUGUGGUGGAGUUGCAGAGGAAAGUUCACAGCCAGAGCUUCACCAGGCCUGACACCAAGCAUAUCUAGUGUUACAUCUGGAGCAAAAACAGGUAUUGGAUUAAACUCAACAAGGAUAUUGAAUUUCUGAGAUAUUGCUGCCAAACGUCUCCCAACAGCCUCCAACCCAUCACCACGGGCAUAUUUAGAAACAGGAUCAUCAAUUCCUGUUAUCCGAACACGAGGAGCCCCAGAUGGUUUUGCUGCAAGUGCCUGUAAUAAAGUCAUCCAUUGUGUACCCUGAGCUAUUUGGAAGUCGAUGAUAUGUAUGCAAUCCUCAGUUUUGCAUGCUUCAGCAAUGGCACCGUUGGCUGCCAUGUAACCAAACUUCAAGUAGGGGCAGAUUUCAUAAAGGAUAUGCAUGUAAGAAAGUAAAUCCUUGCUUUCUGGCUCCCUACAUCGCAGAGCACGGUAUAUGUUAGAACCUGAUUUCUCUUUUCUAGCUACCAACGCUUCCACCAUGUAAGCCCCAAGACGCUGGAUUGGUUCUCCACCUACAGACACAGCACCUCUAGCCUUUUCAAUCAACUUAUCAAAAUCAUUAAUAUUGUUUUCAGAGAGAGCUUUAGCGCAUGCAAUUAAUAACUGCUUCAGAUUGCCUGAUGGAAAGCCCUGCAGAGAUGAUUCCCCAAUUGCCAUCUGACUGUUCUCAAUUUGAGCACCUUCAGCUGACUGCCUAUACCUAGAAAUGAAGGACGGCUGAGGCUGAAUCACAUGUGAACCAUGGUGUUCUUGGCUCCAAGACCUAGGUCUGUGGCCAGGUGCUUGCGGCUUACUACUUCCCCCAUAAGAAGUAUUUGGUUUUGCUGCUUCUUCUUCAUCAGGCCCCAUUAGUACAGUCUCUAACUCCUGCAAAACGUGUUUUAUUUUCUGGCUACUAUUUGCAUUCUGCAGAUAUGAAGUCCCACC